RNAcentral lists this ribosomal RNA (392 nucleotides) under uncultured bacterium. RNAcentral describes it as "partial 16S ribosomal RNA". It matches the Rfam family "Bacterial small subunit ribosomal RNA", at positions 523 to 918 of the family's 1533-position model. The record is from RNAcentral.
AUACGGAGGAUCCAAGCGUUAUCCGGAUUUAUUGGGUUUAAAGGGUGCGCAGGCGGCCAUUUAAGUCAGCGGUUAAAUCGUGGGGCUCAACCCCAUUCUGCCGUUGAUACUGGGUGGCUUGAUUGCGGUCGAGGUUGGCGGAAUUCGUUGUGUAGCGGUGAAAUGCAUAGAUAUGACGAAGAACACCGAUUGCGUAGGCAGCUGACCAGACCGCAAAUGACGCUCAUGCACGAAAGUGCGGGGAUCGAACAGGAUUAGAUACCCUGGUAGUCCGCACAGUAAACGAUGAAUACUUGUUUUCGGCGAUAUAAUGUCGGAGGCAAAGCGAAAGCGAUAAGUAUUCCACCUGGGGAGUACGCCGGCAACGGUGAAACUUAAAGGAAUUGACGGGG